Molecule: non-coding RNA, 213 nt
Organism: Pelobates cultripes (western spadefoot toad)
Lineage: Eukaryota; Metazoa; Chordata; Amphibia; Anura; Pelobatidae
Source: the annotation of a GenBank genome assembly
CUGGAUGUACCCCUAAACGUAGGGGUACCCCUUUAAAUCCUACAUCCCCGGAUAGCCCUGAUCUAGGUGCACAACAUAUCCAAAAAUCACCCAGAUCAGACCAGGGGUUCGGGAAAUAUAUGGAGGGAAUAAAAUGACCGACCGCACUAACUGAGACAGCCGAAUGUGGUUCCAUACGAAUGGGCCCUGCGGUCGGUCCUGGAAUAAGGGAAC